AACGAACGCUGGCGGCAUGCCUAACACAUGCAAGUCGAACGAGACCUUCGGGCCUAGUUGCGCACGGGUGCGUAACGCGUGGGAACCUGCCCGUAGGUUCGGUAUAACUCCCCGAAAGGUGUGCUAAUACCGGAUAAUGUCUUCGGACCUAAGAUUUAUCGCUUUUGGAUGGGCCCGCGUUGGAUUCGCUAGUUGGUAGGGUAUAAGCCUAGCAAGGCGAGGUUCCAUAGCUGGUCUGAUAGGAUGAUAUACCACACUGGGAAUAAGACACGGCCCAGACUGCUACGCAAGGGAGGAGUGGGGAAUAUUAGGGAAGGAGCGAAGGCCUGACAAAGCAAUGCCGGGGAAGUGGUGAAGGCCUUAGGGUUGUGAAGCUGUUUUAGCCGAGGUGAUAAUGACAGUACCGGGAGAAUAAGCACCGGCUAACUACGUG
RNAcentral lists this ribosomal RNA (433 nucleotides) under uncultured bacterium. RNAcentral describes it as "partial 16S ribosomal RNA". It matches the Rfam family "Bacterial small subunit ribosomal RNA", at positions 29 to 507 of the family's 1533-position model. The record is from RNAcentral.